AUUUUGCAUGUGUCCUUUAAAUGUCAUCUUUGAAAAUUUAGGAGCACCCCCAGUAAAUACAUUAUCAAAAAUACCCUUUUCCAACGACUUAAUUUAUGCAAGUAAUGAAUCAGAGGGAUUUUGCAAACCAAAAUAAAAUUUAUCGCCGUAAUUAAAAGCUAGAUAAUGCAAAAAUUGCUGCCAUAUUUCGUCCUGAUAAUGACAGUUAUCGAUGCUUGACCGAAUUCUAAUAAAAUUAUCCCCCGUUUAACACGUCUGUGUUUUCGCCUGAAAGUGGAUACAAAGCGACUUAUCGGAGGUUAUCUGGGCCGGAACUAAACGGUUUUUUCAACGAGAGGGUUUCGGUUUUGCAUUUAAAUGUGUUCCAGGAUAACAGAUACUAGAAAGUGCGUGGAACCGAGAACUGGCGUGAAUUUUAAGCAGUCCUACUUCUACUAAAUUACCUCUUGAAACAAAUGGAACUGGACGACGGUGAUUGUGGCUCUAAUUGAUAACGAAACGAGCGUUCCUUAAAGAGGAAUCGGCAAAAAUUGCGGUCGGGCCGAUAUUGGCCUCGCUGGCGUUGUUCACAGACGAGAAAAAGUCCCAUCACCAGCGAAAUCUUUGAACAUAAACAAUUUCGGGUAGGAUCGUUGCGAAGCUAAUUUUUGGGAAUGGGAACGUGGUGGGUUAUCCAUUAUUCGGCAGUUUUCUCUUGAUGGCAAUUGGACGAAUUUUAUUUUUCUCUGCGUGUGUGCACUUUCCUCUGUGAAUUUUAAUUAAAUGUUUCCACAACUGGUUAAGCGAAACCUACGAUAGAGUAAACAUAUACGUACAAUUACGGAUUAUUAAGGAAGAAGUGACAACGUAUUUUUUCUUAACAAAAA
Molecule: long non-coding RNA, 866 nt
Organism: Tribolium castaneum (red flour beetle)
Lineage: Eukaryota; Metazoa; Arthropoda; Insecta; Coleoptera; Tenebrionidae
Exons: 3
Source: RefSeq, a predicted model, not a curated record